AUCAAAGCUCAAACCUAUAAAUGAACAUGAAUUAAUGAUCACCUACACAAGGGGAUCAUGAGGGAUCAUGUCAAGAUGGAUGGAAGCAUGGAAGGCUAAAGGGUCAAAAGGAAGCAAGGAAACAGAUACGAAUACAAACGUUUAAGGUAUACUAUUGUGUCCUUAUGAAGAUUUGAUGAUUGGAUGCAAGAUUGUACUCGGAAAGAUAAACAUAAAAGAAUAGCAUGAAUAGAAGAAUGCGGAAUGGUCAUUUAAUUGCGUAUGUCUAGAUUAAGGAUGAUGUCAACAAAUAUUAAUGACGCGCAUGUAUGUGGUGAUUGCAGGUUGCACGGAAUUAACAUCAUUGUGGUUGAAGAUCGAGUCGAAGAGCAAGGAUUGUACGGGAAGAACGGUCUCAUAGCUUGUAUUUAUGGUAUCACAUUUAACGCGUUAAUCAAGAAUGAAUGUUGUAAAUCCUUUCAAGAAGUGUCCGACAGAUUAUAAAUGAA
Helianthus annuus (common sunflower) is the source of this 488-nucleotide long non-coding RNA. RefSeq lists it as uncharacterized. The record is from RefSeq and is a predicted model, not a curated record. The transcript is spliced from 3 exons. Lineage: Eukaryota; Viridiplantae; Streptophyta; Magnoliopsida; Asterales; Asteraceae.